CAGUGGUGAGGUUGUUUAUGAAAACGAUGUAUAUGAUCCAAACAAUAUGCCUCCUGUCCAAACUGCACCCACUAGUCAGCUAGAAAUAACCAGCCAUAGCAACAGAGAGCAGCUGAACACUAGAAAACCAUACUAUG
Molecule: long non-coding RNA, 137 nt
Organism: Megalops cyprinoides (Indo-Pacific tarpon)
Lineage: Eukaryota; Metazoa; Chordata; Actinopteri; Elopiformes; Megalopidae
Exons: 3
Source: RefSeq, a predicted model, not a curated record